This 482-nucleotide ribosomal RNA is filed under the name uncultured bacterium. RNAcentral describes it as "partial 16S ribosomal RNA". It matches the Rfam family "Bacterial small subunit ribosomal RNA", at positions 30 to 507 of the family's 1533-position model. The record is from RNAcentral.
AUUGAACGCUGGCGGCAUGCCUUACACAUGCAAGUCGAACGGUAACGGGCCUUCGGGUGCCGACGAGUGGCGAACGGGUGCGUAAUACAUCGGAACGUGCCCGAUCGUGGGGGAUAACGAGGCGAAAGCUUUGCUAAUACCGCAUACGAUCAACGGAUGAAAGCAGGGGACCGCAAGGCCUUGCGCGGACGGAGCGGCCGAUGGCAGAUUAGGUAGUUGGUGGGAUAAAAGCUUACCAAGCCGACGAUCUGUAGCUGGUCUGAGAGGAUGAUCAGCCACACUGGGACUGAGACACGGCCCAGACUCCUACGGGAGGCAGCAGUGGGGAAUUUUGGACAAUGGGCGCAAGCCUGAUCCAGCCAUGCCGCGUGCAGGAUGAAGGCCUUCGGGUUGUAAACUGCUUUUGUACGGAACGAAAAGCCUUCUUUUAAUACAGGAGGGUCAUGACGGUACCGUAAGAAUAAGCACCGGCUAACUACGUG